UUUUCGAUCAUUUACGACUCAGGAUUGAGUGUUUAGAUGAUCGUUAUCGACAUUUUCAUAUUACGGAUGAUGCACCAGAGGAGGUGGUGCAGCAGUAUAUUAGGGGUCAGGUACUGCAGUUAUUAGGUAGUGUCUUGUUAUCCGAUACUUCAUCGAAUAAGAUGAAGUUGAUGUUUUUGCCAUUAUUAAAGGAUUUAGACUUCGCUCGUAGACUCAGUUGGGGCAGUGCAG
Molecule: long non-coding RNA, 231 nt
Filed under: Elaeis guineensis (African oil palm)
Lineage: Eukaryota; Viridiplantae; Streptophyta; Magnoliopsida; Arecales; Arecaceae
Description: long non-coding RNA (EGUI_LNC075354)
Source: RNAcentral